Molecule: long non-coding RNA, 177 nt
Organism: Magnolia sinica
Lineage: Eukaryota; Viridiplantae; Streptophyta; Magnoliopsida; Magnoliales; Magnoliaceae
Exons: 3
Source: RefSeq, a predicted model, not a curated record
ACCAGGAACCUUCAGGUUCUAUUUAUGAACACAGGAUGCAUUUUGAAAAGGACAAAGCAUUAGCUCGACGAUUCCAACCUGUGUUGAUUGGUCCCAAGCCCGGGUAAGGGAGGAGGGAAAAGGGCGUUAAGAUCAAUCCGAGGCCAUGACAAUGCCAAGAACAACCACCUAGUGACU